Molecule: ribosomal RNA, 465 nt
Filed under: uncultured bacterium
Lineage: Bacteria
Description: partial 16S ribosomal RNA
Rfam family: Bacterial small subunit ribosomal RNA
Source: RNAcentral
GACGAACGCUGGCGGCGUGCUUAACACAUGCAAGUCGAACAGAAAGGCCCUGCUUGCAGGGUACUCGAGUGGCGAACGGGUGAGUAACACGUGGGUGAUCUGCCCUGCACUUCGGGAUAAGCCUGGGAAACUGGGUCUAAUACCGGAUAGGAGCCAUUUUUAGUGUGAUGGUUGGAAAGUUUUUUCGGUGUUGGAUGAGCUCGCGGCCUAUCAGCUUGUUGGUGGGGUAAUGGCCUACCAAGGCGGCGACGGGUAGCCGGCCUGAGAGGGUGGACGGCCACAUUGGGACUGAGGUACGGCCCAGACUCCUACGGGAGGCAGCAGUGGGGAAUAUUGCACAAUGGGCGCAAGCCGGAUGCAGCGACGCCGCGUGGGGGAUGACGGCCUUAGGGUUGAAAACUCCUUUCGCUAGGGACGAAGCUUUUUGUGACGGUACCUAGAGAAGAAGCACCGGCUAACUACGUG